Long non-coding RNA from Anneissia japonica, 485 nucleotides. RefSeq lists it as uncharacterized. Lineage: Eukaryota; Metazoa; Echinodermata; Crinoidea; Comatulida; Comatulidae. The transcript has 3 exons. The record is from RefSeq and is a predicted model, not a curated record.
CGAUUUUUUUACCUGUACUAUCUGAGAUGUAAAUAUCCUAGCUGUUGUUCAGAUUGUGCAUAUCAACCAGAUAUUCCUAAGUUACCGGAUAAAUCGAUAUCAAUGGAUCGAAUUUUUAAGAUAUUUUUCCUCCUUGUAUAACUGUUGUAUUGUUUUAUGUAAUAACAUUGAUUCCAAAUUGCAAUGUAGGCCUUCAUAAAAGAAUAAAAGGCAGCAAUAAUCAACAUACAGUAUUGCAAAGUAUUGGGAAUAUGGUAAGACAGCCAGAAGGCCUACGAAGUUGCAUGCCAAAAAAAAAAAAACAUCGUGUUUUUGAAAACUCACAAAACAGGCGGAACAACGCUAGCACGAAUACUUGAACAAUAUGCUUUCGACAACAAACUAAAUGUGGUUAUUAAAAAAGGAGAAUACAAAAAUUUUCACUUUACAAAUGUGAAUUUUAAUUUUACUUCCAAGAAGAAUUUCGUACCCCCGAUGGGCGUCAA